This 770-nucleotide ribosomal RNA is filed under the name Weissella cibaria. RNAcentral describes it as "bacterial SSU rRNA". It matches the Rfam family "Bacterial small subunit ribosomal RNA", at positions 62 to 818 of the family's 1533-position model. The record is from RNAcentral. Lineage: Bacteria; Bacillati; Bacillota; Bacilli; Lactobacillales; Lactobacillaceae.
GCUUGCUCAGAUAUGACGAUGGACAUUGCAAAGAGUGGCGAACGGGUGAGUAACACGUGGGAAACCUACCUCUUAGCAGGGGAUAACAUUUGGAAACAGAUGCUAAUACCGUAUAACAAUAGCAACCGCAUGGUUGCUACUUAAAAGAUGGUUCUGCUAUCACUAAGAGAUGGUCCCGCGGUGCAUUAGUUAGUUGGUGAGGUAAUGGCUCACCAAGACGAUGAUGCAUAGCCGAGUUGAGAGACUGAUCGGCCACAAUGGGACUGAGACACGGCCCAUACUCCUACGGGAGGCAGCAGUAGGGAAUCUUCCACAAUGGGCGAAAGCCUGAUGGAGCAACGCCGCGUGUGUGAUGAAGGGUUUCGGCUCGUAAAACACUGUUGUAAGAGAAGAAUGACAUUGAGAGUAACUGUUCAAUGUGUGACGGUAUCUUACCAGAAAGGAACGGCUAAAUACGUGCCAGCAGCCGCGGUAAUACGUAUGUUCCAAGCGUUAUCCGGAUUUAUUGGGCGUAAAGCGAGCGCAGACGGUUAUUUAAGUCUGAAGUGAAAGCCCUCAGCUCAACUGAGGAAUUGCUUUGGAAACUGGAUGACUUGAGUGCAGUAGAGGAAAGUGGAACUCCAUGUGUAGCGGUGAAAUGCGUAGAUAUAUGGAAGAACACCAGUGGCGAAGGCGGCUUUCUGGACUGUAACUGACGUUGAGGCUCGAAAGUGUGGGUAGCAAACAGGAUUAGAUACCCUGGUAGUCCACACCGUAAACGAUGAGUGCUA